This 253-nucleotide ribosomal RNA is filed under the name uncultured bacterium. Its description in RNAcentral is "partial 16S ribosomal RNA". It matches the Rfam family "Bacterial small subunit ribosomal RNA", at positions 524 to 777 of the family's 1533-position model. The record is from RNAcentral.
UACAGAGGGUGCAAGCGUUGCUCGGAAUCAUUGGGCGUAAAGGGCAAGUAGGUGGUCUCAUUUGUCUAGGGUGAAAUCCUUGAGCUUAACUCAAGAAGUGCCCUAGAAACGGUGGGACUAGAGUUCUGGAGAGGUCGUGGAAUUCCCGGUGUAGAGUGAAAUUCGUAGAUAUCGGGAGGAACACCAGUGGUGAAGGCGGUUGCCUGGGGCUUUGCUGACGCUGAUGCGCGAAAGCGUGGGGAGCGAGUCCGGA